RNAcentral lists this transfer RNA (75 nucleotides) under Alphaproteobacteria bacterium. RNAcentral describes it as "tRNA-Val". It matches the Rfam family "tRNA". Rfam says of the family: Transfer RNA (tRNA) molecules are approximately 80 nucleotides in length. Their secondary structure includes four short double-helical elements and three loops (D, anti-codon, and T loops). Further hydrogen bonds mediate the characteristic L-shaped molecular structure. tRNAs have two regions of fundamental functional importance: the anti-codon, which is responsible for specific mRNA codon recognition, and the 3' end, to which the tRNAs corresponding amino acid is attached (by aminoacyl-tRNA synthetases). tRNAs cope with the degeneracy of the genetic code in two manners: having more than one tRNA (with a specific anti-codon) for a particular amino acid; and 'wobble' base-pairing, i.e. permitting non-standard base-pairing at the 3rd anti-codon position. Lineage: Bacteria; Pseudomonadati; Pseudomonadota; Alphaproteobacteria. The record is from RNAcentral.
GGUCAUGUAGCUCAGAGGUAGAGCACUACGUUGACAUCGUAGGGGUCACAGGUUCGAUCCCUGUCGUGACCACCA